AUGCCGAUCUCGAAAACCUGUCCCAGUUCGGACUGGAGUCUGCAACCCGACUCCACGAAGUUGGAUUCGCUAGUAAUCGCGCAUCAGCCAUGGCGCGGUGAAUACGUUCCCGGGCCUUGUACACACCGCCCGUCAAGCCAUGGGAGCCGGGGGCGCCUGAAGUCCGGGACCGCGAGGACCGGCCUAGGGCGAAACUGGUGACUGGGGCUAAGUCGUAACAAGGUAGC
Molecule: ribosomal RNA, 227 nt
Filed under: uncultured bacterium
Lineage: Bacteria
Description: partial 16S ribosomal RNA
Rfam family: Bacterial small subunit ribosomal RNA
Source: RNAcentral